RNAcentral lists this long non-coding RNA (988 nucleotides) under Anser brachyrhynchus (Pink-footed goose). RNAcentral's name for it is "lncRNA (ENSABRG00000014671.1)". Lineage: Eukaryota; Metazoa; Chordata; Aves; Anseriformes; Anatidae. The record is from RNAcentral.
GCACCACAACCCCGCCGCUUACCUGGCGGCCGCCGGUGCGCUCCCUCAGGCAGCCGGGGCUGCGCCUGCCGCCCCCUCCACGGCCCCCCCUCGAGGUGGGCAGCGGCCGGGGCGCCGUGACAUCCGAGCGGGGCGCUGCGAGGGGUCGCGCCGGCCCCCGGCAGGGCGCCAGCCCGGUCACCGCCCUCCUGUGGGCGGCGGGCAGGCUGAGGCGGGGGGCGACGCCCGCUCCAUCGCCGGCAGGGCCGGCCGCAAGCGAGCUUCCGCGGCUCCUCUCCUCACUGCGGAGAGACGAUGGGGGGGAGGCAGCCUUAAAGGGGGAGCGGUGGGGGCGAGGGCUGGCCGGCUAGCCCCCUCGGCACGGCACGGCACGGCACGGCUCGGCUCGGCACGGCUCGGCUCGGCGGGGACGGGUGAGGCGAGGCAGCAGCGCGGGGAGGCAGCGCCGCCAGCUCGAGGUGGCCGUGGCCGGAGUCCCCGAGCUGGUGCCGAGGAGAGGAUGGAGGCCAAGUCGGUGCCGUCGGGGCGCCCCCCGCCGCCUGCCGUCAGCCCCCGGGGGCGCUGGUGCCUGGCUCCCGGAGCUCGGCACCUCGCCUUCGGCCUUUUCCUGCAUGCUCUGAAAUAGCGGCGUUUAACGCGACUCAAAAUCGAGGAUGUGGAGUGGCAGGUUCCCGAAAUGUACAGGUACAUUGUGGAUAUGGAUACCACAAGAGCGCCAUCAGUUAGAGCAAAAUAUAUGAUUCCAGAUUUGAUAGCCUGAGGGAAGUGAAGCUGCUGCAAUCCCAUACCCCCAGGUCCAACCAGCAGGAUGUCUGAAGGUGUUAUUUUCAGCAGGAACAUGCACAGAGCUUACACAUAUACAGCACAUGUAUACAUGGCCAACUGCACAGAUCACAGGCAGACACUGAGAGCACUCACACAAACACAGCACCAAUGGCCUCAUCCUGUUCGCUCUCUGUGUGAGCAGGACAGAGGUUUACUAAGAAAA